This 1346-nucleotide ribosomal RNA is filed under the name uncultured bacterium. RNAcentral's name for it is "partial 16S ribosomal RNA". It matches the Rfam family "Bacterial small subunit ribosomal RNA", at positions 28 to 1381 of the family's 1533-position model. The record is from RNAcentral.
GACGAACGCUGGCGGCGUGCUUAACACAUGCAAGUCGAACGGAAAGGCCCUGCUUUUGUGGGGUGCUCGAGUGGCGAACGGGUGAGUAACACGUGAGUAACCUGCCCUUGACUUUGGGAUAACUUCAGGAAACUGGGGCUAAUACCGGAUAGGAGCUCCUGCUGCAUGGUGGGGGUUGGAAAGUUUCGGCGGUUGGGGAUGGACUCGCGGCUUAUCAGCUUGUUGGUGGGGUAGUGGCUUACCAAGGCUUUGACGGGUAGCCGGCCUGAGAGGGUGACCGGCCACAUUGGGACUGAGAUACGGCCCAGACUCCUACGGGAGGCAGCAGUGGGGAAUAUUGCACAAUGGGCGGAAGCCUGAUGCAGCAACGCCGCGUGCGGGAUGGCGGCCUUCGGGUUGUAAACCGCUUUCGCCUGUGACGAAGCGUGAGUGACGGUAAUGGGUAAAGAAGCACCGGCUAACUACGUGCCAGCAGCCGCGGUGAUACGUAGGGUGCGAGCGUUGUCCGGAUUUAUUGGGCGUAAAGGGCUCGUAGGUGGUUGAUCGCGUCGGAAGUGUAAUCUUGGGGCUUAACCCUGAGCGUGCUUUCGAUACGGGUUGACUUGAGGAAGGUAGGGGAGAAUGGAAUUCCUGGUGGAGCGGUGGAAUGCGCAGAUAUCAGGAGGAACACCAGUGGCGAAGGCGGUUCUCUGGGCCUUUCCUGACGCUGAGGAGCGAAAGCGUGGGGAGCGAACAGGCUUAGAUACCCUGGUAGUCCACGCUGUAAACGGUGGGUACUAGGUGUGGGGUCCAUUCCACGGGUUCCGUGCCGUAGCUAACGCUUUAAGUACCCCGCCUGGGGAGUACGGCCGCAAGGCUAAAACUCAAAGGAAUUGACGGGGCCCCGCACAAGCGGCGGAGCAUGCGGAUUAAUUCGAUGCAACGCGUAGAACCUUACCUGGGUUUGACAUGGAUCGGGAGUGCUCAGAGAUGGGUGUGCCUCUUUUGGGGUCGGUUCACAGGUGGUGCAUGGCUGCCGUCAGCUCGUGUCGUGAGAUGUUGGGUUAAGUCCCGCAACGAGCGCAACCCUUGUUCACUGUUGCCAGCACGUUAUGGUGGGGACUCAGUGGAGACCGCCGGGGUCAACUCGGAGGAAGGUGGGGAUGACGUCAAGUCAUCAUGCCCCUUAUGUCCAGGGCUUCACGCAUGCUACAAUGGCUGGUACAGAGAGUGGCGAGCCUGUGAGGGUGAGCGAAUCUCGGAAAGCCGGUCUCAGUUCGGAUUGGGGUCUGCAACUCGACCUCAUGAAGUCGGAGUCGCUAGUAAUCGCAGAUCAGCAACGCUGCGGUGAAUACGUUCCCGGGGCU